RNAcentral lists this ribosomal RNA (253 nucleotides) under uncultured bacterium. RNAcentral describes it as "partial 16S ribosomal RNA". It matches the Rfam family "Bacterial small subunit ribosomal RNA", at positions 524 to 776 of the family's 1533-position model. The record is from RNAcentral.
UACGUAGGGUGCAAGCGUUUUCCGGAUUUAUUGGGCGUAAAGAGCUCGUAGGCGGCUCGUCGCGUCGGAUGUGAAAACUCGGGGCUUAACCCCGAGCCUGCAUUCGAUACGGGCGGGCUAGAAUUCGGUAGGGGAGACUGGAAUUCCUGGUGUAGCGGUGAAAUGCGCAGAUAUCAGGAGGAACACCGAUGGCGAAGGCAGGUCUCUGGGCCGAUAUUGACGCUGAGGAGCGAAAGCGUGGGGAGCGAACAGG